AAGAGUUCGACAGAGAUCUCCGUCUGACACUGCUAUCAGGCAAAUCAUGUUUUAUUUAUUUGUAAUCUAACCAUUUCGUUAUAGAAACGUGAUACCAUCAACCCAAGCUGUAAAAUGAUUCCCAAUUCAGAACACAGCAACCUUAGUAAUGUAGCUAGCUAAUUACAAGUAGAUCUGUUGAUCGCUACCUGAAGCAGAUAGCCUUAUCACUAGCUAGCAUGUCAUUCCACGACAAUUCCAAGAAUUUUAGCUAUCAGUUUAUUCCAAGUAAUAAUUUAAGAUUACAAAAAUCUAUAGGACAAGUAUUGUACAUCUACUUCAGUCAUCAGGGCAGGACCCACUAAUUUCAUUCAUACUGACAAAUAGUAAAUGCAACUUUAUCCCUGUCAAUAGUUGGAGUAGGAUGAAAAUAUAGCACCCGGCCUCAGACUUUUAGGAUGUUCAUUUUCUAGCUCACAAAUUACAUUAUUUUGCUGUGAUGAUUUACUGUAUUUUGUUUAUUCUUGUCUUUCACUUUUGUGUCACAUGAUCUGUUUAGCUCUCCUUUAUCCUGCUCUCAGAGAAUAACCAAGUGCUAUUCACCAAGCAUGGACUGAUUCACUCACCUGUGAGGAGAUCCAUCCUACAGCAGUUUGAACUAGACCUGCCGUCACUGUUUAGAUUUUGGGACCACAUGCAUUUGCCUGUUGUCUUUUCUUUGUGGAUUCUAUCUUACACAGUCUAGUGCAUUUUAGAGUUGACGAACACCAACUACAGAUACAAGUGGUUGUUUGAGCACCUUGAAGACUAAAUUCAAUGUAGAAUCAGUGUAACCGGUGACAAACAGAUUAUUUUACUAUUGUAACAAGCAGUGGUGAGAAUUAUAUUGUCCCCGUCGGGAGCCCAGACUUUUGCCAUAGAUGGUAGUGUUCUCGUCUCUGGACCACACAAGCUUUAGUCAGCUACAUUGGUGAUCAGAGUGGGAUCCUUUUGAUACGCCUAUGAGGCCUGGGCACACAAAUGCUCCUAGAGAGAAGGUGGAAUACUAAAGUAUGCGUUGAUGACAGGUCUGCAGUCUCCAUCAGAGGCCCAUGCUUUUGGCACAGAUGGUAAAGCUCUCAUUUCUUGACUGCAAUAUUGUAAGAUUGUGCCCUCCACAGCACUUGAUAUACAUUAAUUGGUAGGUUACGCUAUAUUUAUGUAGCCAGGUGGUAAAAGCGCAUAGCUGUAUUCAUUUUUAUCCACUAGCUGGCACCAUCCCUUUAAGAGAUUCAUAAACAAGGUGUGCCGGCGGUUAUGGGAUUGCGCAGUGUGUAAGAGUGAGAACAAGCAAUUACACUGGCGACCUGUUGAAAACCAUCGUGGAUCCAACGUUACUUUAGAUGGAUUGACAUGAGGAUGUUAGCUUCUUGCUAGCUGAAUACCAGUGCUCUCAGAACCACGUGGUGGAGUUGAUGAUAACAUUAUUUGAAGUUGCAGUAUGGGUGAGAUGAGGAUCUACUGUUCCAUGUGGGGUUAGUGCAUCACCUGGACAGCGUGUUUCUAAGUAUUCAUGUUGUUUUAUGACUAAAUGUAUUUUUGUUUUUCAUGCAUGAUGUCAUUUUAUUCAUGGACAUCUUGUACUCAGAUAUUUGAAAUGUUAGAAAGUCUAUUCUAACUGAACAUUGUGGUGUCUGUAUUUUCUUGUGUGUUUCUAUAGAAAGCAGAGCCACUACAGUUUAUGCAUUUCACUUUGUACUUAUUGUACUCCGAUUGUUUUAUGCACUUAACAGAUUUAUUUCACUUGAUUGUGAUUUGGACUGAACAUUACUUUAUGGUGACUUCAUCUUGUGGUGAUUUCCCUUCUACAUUAUCCUAUUUUAAAUGUAAGUUUCGAAAGAAUAAACAACCCCAAAUUAGUUUGUCUUGUGCUGGGUUUACUUUCGCCAGGCUACAUUUAUAUACUGCUUAAGACACCUUUGCUAUUUGCCGCUGUACUCAAUAAAUGGCGCA
Long non-coding RNA from Oncorhynchus nerka (sockeye salmon), 1971 nucleotides. RefSeq lists it as uncharacterized. The record is from RefSeq and is a predicted model, not a curated record. NCBI's taxonomy places the organism in Eukaryota, Metazoa, Chordata, Actinopteri, Salmoniformes, Salmonidae. The transcript has 3 exons.